RNAcentral lists this small RNA (17 nucleotides) under Arabidopsis thaliana (thale cress). RNAcentral's name for it is "ATSL113190". Lineage: Eukaryota; Viridiplantae; Streptophyta; Magnoliopsida; Brassicales; Brassicaceae. The record is from RNAcentral.
AGGAAGAAGCUUAGAAG